Molecule: non-coding RNA, 31 nt
Filed under: Mus musculus (house mouse)
Lineage: Eukaryota; Metazoa; Chordata; Mammalia; Rodentia; Muridae
Source: RNAcentral
UAUUAGUCAGCAUCUGAGAUAACAAAUCGGG